Molecule: ribosomal RNA, 497 nt
Filed under: uncultured bacterium
Lineage: Bacteria
Description: partial 16S ribosomal RNA
Rfam family: Bacterial small subunit ribosomal RNA
Source: RNAcentral
GAUGAACGCUGGCGGCGUGCCUAAUACAUGCAAGUCGAGCGAACAGACGAGGAGCUUGCUCCUCUGACGUUAGCGGCGGACGGGUGAGUAACACGUGGAUAACCUACCUAUAAGACUGGGAUAACUUCGGGAAACCGGAGCUAAUACCGGAUAAUAUAUUGAACCGCAUGGUUCAAUAGUGAAAGACGGUUUUGCUGUGACUUAUAGAUGGAUCCGCGCCGCAUUAGCUAGUUGGUAAGGUAACGGCUUACCAAGGCAACGAUGCGUAGCCGACCUGAGAGGGGGAUCGGCCACACUGGAACUGAGACACGGACCAGACUCCUACGGGAGGCAGCAGUAGGGAAUCUUCCGCAAUGGGCGCAAGCCUGACGGAGCAACGCCGCGUGAGUGAUGAAGGUCUUCGGAUCGUAAAACUCUGUUAUUAGGGAAGAACAAAUGUGUAAGUAACUAUGCACGUCUUGACGGUACCUAAUCAGAAAGCCACGGCUAACUACGUG